RNAcentral lists this ribosomal RNA (1863 nucleotides) under Curalium cronini. Its description in RNAcentral is "SSU rRNA". It matches the Rfam family "Eukaryotic small subunit ribosomal RNA". The record is from RNAcentral. Lineage: Eukaryota; Metazoa; Arthropoda; Insecta; Hemiptera; Curaliidae.
UCAUAUGCUUGUCUCAAAGCUUAAGCCAUGCCAAGUCUCCAGUACAGACUGUUUUAAAGUGAAACCGCAAAGGCUCAGUAAACCAGUUUUAAUUUACUAGAGUAAACUUGACUGUUCUUGGAUAACUGUGGUAAUUCUAGAGCUAAUACAUGCAACAAAGCCCCGACCUUAAUUGGAAGAGGCGCUUUUUAUAGAUCAAAACCAUUCGCCCGGUUCUCCGGGCGUCUAUUUGAUGGAACCUAGAUAACACAUCAGAUCGCAUGGUCUUUAGUACCGGCGACUUAUCUUUCAAAUGCCUGACUUAUCAACUGUCGAUGGUAGACUCUGUGUCUACCAUGGCUCUUACGGGUAACGGGGAAUCAGGGUUCGUUCCGGAGAGGGAGCCUGAGAAACGGCUACCACAUCCAAGGAAGGCAGCAGGCACGCAAAUUACCCACUCCCGGCACGGGGAGGUAGUGACAAAAAAUAACGAUACGGGACUCUAAAAGAGGCCUCGUAAUCGGAAUGAGUACACUUUAAACCCUUUAACGAGGAUCCAUUGGAGGGUAAGUCUGGUGCCAGCAGCCGCGGUAAUUCCAGCUCCAAUAGCGUAUAUUAAAGUUGUUGCGGUUAAAAAGCUCGUAGUCGGUUCUGCGUCCCACGCUGUCGGUACACCGUUGGUGAUACUGGCAUGUCGUGGAAUGUCCUGUCGGUGGCGGCAGAUGCAUUUUGUGCUCAAGUUCGCUUGCGGCGCUUAAUGUAUUCGGUCGCCGACUAUAUCCUACCGCGGUGCCCUUUAACGGACGUCGAGGUAGGCCGACACGUUUACUUUGAACAAAUUAGAGUGCUUAAAGCAGGCCAAAAUUUUUGCCUGAAUAGUGGUGCAUGGAAUAAUGGAACAGGACCUUGGUUCUAUUUUGUUGGUUUUCGGAGCACAAGGUAAUGAUCAAUAUGGACAGGCGGGGGCAUUCGUAUUGCGACGUUAGAGGUGAAAUUCUUGGAUCGUCGCAAGACGCACUAGAGCGAAAGCAUUUGCCAAGUAUGUCUUAAUUGAUCAAGAACGAAAGUUAGAGGUUCGAAGGCGAUCAGAUACCGCCCUAGUUCUAACCAUAAACGAUGCCAGCCAGCGAUCCGCUGUAGUUUCAUUGUUUGACUCGGCGGGGAGCUUUCCCCGGGAAACCAAAGCUUUUGGGUUCCGGGGGAAGAUGGUUGCAAAGCUGAAACUUAAAGGAAUUGACCGGAGGGCACCACCCAGGAGUGGAAGCCUGCGGCUUUAAUUUGACUCAACACGGGAAACCUCACCAGGUCAGGACAUUGGAAUGAUUGACAGAUUGAUAGCUCUUUCUUGAUUCAGUGGGUAGUGGUGCAUGGCCGUUCUUAGUUGGUGGAUCGAUUUGUCUGGUUAAUUCCGAUAACGAACGAGACUCUAGCCUAUUAACUAGACGUUACGGUAUCGUAGCUACCGGCGAAAAUAAUCUUUUUAAGGGGACAGGCGGAUUUUAGCCGCACGAGAUUGAGCAAUAACAGGUCUGUGAUGCCCUUAGAUGUCCUGGGCCGCACGCGCGCUACACUGAAGGAAUCAGCGUGUGCUUCCCCUAGACCGAAAGGUCCGGGUAACCCGCUGAACCUCCUUCGUGCUAGGAAUUGGGGCUUGCAAUUAUUCCCCAUGAACGAGGAAUUCCCAGUAAGCGCGAGUCAUAAGCUCGCGUUGAUUACGUCCCUGCCCUUUGUACACACCGCCCGUCGCUACUACCGAUUGAAUGAUUUAGUGAGGUCUUCGGACCGGCGGUAAGCCUAAUCGGUGUUAAAGCCGGUUAUGAUGAACGCUAGAAAGAUGACCAAACUUGAUCAUUUAGAGGAAGUAAAAGUCGUAACAAGGUCUCC